UAUGUAGGGUGCGAGCGUUGCCCGGAUUUAUUGGGCGUAAAGGGCGCGUAGGCGGCUCUGCACGUCCGUUGUGAAAUCGCCCGGCUCAACUGGGCGGGGUCAGCGGAUACGGCGGAGCUUGAGCAAGCUAGGGGGCAAUGGAAUUCCCGGUGUAGUGGUGGAAUGCGUAGAUAUCGGGAGGAACACCAGUGGCGAAGGCGGUUGCCUGGGGCUUUGCUGACGCUGAUGCGCGAAAGCGUGGGGAGCGAACAGG
RNAcentral lists this ribosomal RNA (253 nucleotides) under uncultured bacterium. RNAcentral describes it as "partial 16S ribosomal RNA". It matches the Rfam family "Bacterial small subunit ribosomal RNA", at positions 524 to 776 of the family's 1533-position model. The record is from RNAcentral.